CCCAUAAAAAUCGAUAUUUAAAAAACCCAGUUACAUCGAUAGUCCGAACGAUGUUUUUCUAUUUCUUUUGGGGUUUUGUGUUGGUUGGCGCUUCUUUAUAGUGUUUUUCGAAGAGCAAUGAUAGGCAAAAGCAGAAUUUCAAGCAGAGCACUCGCUGCAAAUGGCGUCGUGGGAUCAAAUUACGAAACACAGUCGGAUUUAGAACCGACAACGAGUAAUAAUCAAGAGAAGAGCGAGCAAUUGAGUUCGCACUUAAGCGAUGGAGUUAAAUAUAUUUAUUUUACGCCAAAUACGCAAGCAAAUGGUUACGAUUUCAUAGCUAAAAGCAUUAAAACCAAAGACUUUAAUAACGUUCGCAUCGCCAUAAUUUGCGAGCAUGCGACAAAUGCGCAGCAAAUGAUGAGAGAAAUGGGGAAGCGCAGCGUGGCCAGCCUCUUGCUGACCACCGCCACAGCAACGACCAUCGCCAAUAAGAAAGCCUCGCUGGAUGGGCUGCUGGCAUUGCAGACUGACGGCGUGCUCACAUCGGUGUUGAUUGCCACCGACGACAUGCUGCCGAACUUGGCGCAUUAUGGCAAAUUAAAGGUCGAGCUGUUGAUACAUUCCACACAACCGUUACCGCAUAUCUUUCAAAAGCGCGUUAACACGUUUAUCCCAUCAGAAGGGAAGGAGAAGGAGCGCCAAGUGAUUGUCAUACAAACGCCAGCAGUUGUCCAGCAAUUACCAGAAACCGAAGCUAGUAAUCCAAUCGAUGCAUUGCCUUCGCCAUUACCUUCGCCAAUGCGUUCUCCAUUGCCUUCUUCAUUGUCUUCGCCAAUGCGUUCUCCAUUGCCUUCUUCAUUGUCUUCGCCAUUAGCUUUACCUUUGCCUUUGCCUUUACCUUUACCUUUGUUGAGACAACGAAGUCCAACACAACUGGAUGAUGAUAUCGUGUCCUCAACUUCAGUAUCUUCCUGUUCGCUGCAAUCGAUGCCACAUGAUCCAAUUGAAGAUGCAUCUGCUACAAGUAUACUCAACACCUAUAACAAAUUCGAUGUGCUGGCUCUAAGUAAGCAAAAGCUGGAUUCGUGCUAUCAAAUAAGCGACAUCAAGGCACUCGAUGGACGUAUUAAGGCAGUUAUGAAAGAAAUGAGCCAUGAGCAUGGCAAGAAGCCACAUCGCUAUGCCUGGCCACAUACGGCGAAGCAUCGCUCGCUUUGCGUCAUAGGCUACGAGGCUUCUGGCAAAACAUGGAGUUAUUUACCCUGGCUGUGUCACAAAGCUUUCCAGAAUGCGGAUGAAGGCAGGUUGGGUGCUUGUUGCAUCAUUUUGUGCCCAGACGCGCGACAAGGCGAACGAAUCGCUGUUUGCUGCGAAAAACUAUUGAACUCUAAGGAUGAGAAGAAACCUGUGGUGAUGCGACUAUUUGAACAAGACGAAAUCCAAACGGUUGUGGCAACACUGAAGGUUACUUGCGGCAUUCUGAUGACCAGCGUUAAGCUGCUGUUGCUGGCAAAAGAUGAGAUAAUCUUGGAUGCCAAUUUUGUGCGCUGCAUCGCUUUUGAUAACAUCGAUGUGUUGUGGAAUCAGAGCAAAAAUGAUUUCGAACAAUUGAUUGAGUGGUUGUUCGAACACCUUAGCAUUGGAGUGAGUGGCACACAGAUGCUGAUUAGUGGACGUCAGUGGUGCGAGGCGGUGAUGAAUCGCUUGCUACCCAAGCUGGAUGAUGUGCUGCUCUUGUUUACGGAUGCGCUGGAAGCGUCUGUCUAUGGCCGCAUUCAGCAAGAGAUGCUGUUCAUUGAUCCGCAGCGUAACGAGGUGGAAAUACUCAAAGUGCUGCUUGCCAAAAAUCUGAAGGAGGAACGUGUGGUCAUGGUGUGUGACAGCAAUGACGAAGCAAAUUACUUAAAGAUCCAUCUGAUGUCCGCCGGCAUUCGCAGCAUCAUUAUCAAUGAGAGCAAUCAAGUGAAUACCUUUAAGAAUUGGUGUCACGAAAAGAGACGAAAUGUGGUCAUUGCUAUCGAUGAUAUAAUAUCCAAGUUGCGUGGCGGUCGCAUCGAUCUCUUGUUCCAUUAUAAGCCUGCGAGCAGCUGGCGACGUUUCAAGGCCCGUUUCGGUCUCUUCUAUGGCAAUCAUAAAACACAGACUACAGAGGAGAGUCAUUCGAAUGCCACAUCAAUAAUUUGCAUCACACAGAAGGACGGCGAUGUCAUUUGGUGCAUGUGCAAUUUUCUGCUUAAACAUGAGAUUGCUGCGCCCUCAGCCUGGUUGACGUCCUUUACUGAGUUUCGCUUGACUGCAGAGCGUCUCAAUCCCCUACCCAAGCAACCGAUGUGCGAACAAAUGCUGUGCUACGGCAACUGCUGGAGACGCAAGUGUCAAUAUCGUCAUCAAGUGGCCCAAAAGGAGCUAGCACGACCCAUUGAGUACUUUAAUAAAUUGCACAUUGAAUUUUAUAUAUCAUACAUUCAUACACCAACACGUUUCGUUAUUAAGGAUAUCUCAUUACCCAUUGCUCAUCUGUAUGGCGGGAUUCCUAUUACCAAGCUGGAAGAUUCGAUCAAUUUGCAUUACAUCAACGCAAAUAAUCGCAGCCUACUCUCCAAUCCUAGGCUCAAUGAUAUUUGUGUUGUUGAACUGAAUCAACGUUAUCAACGUGUUGUUGUGAUCGGCGUGAAUGGGAAAGAGAUUAAGGUCCGGCAGUUGGAUAAUGUCAUGGAAGAGGUGAAUAUCAAGGCCUCAGAAGUUUUUGUAUGCAAGGAGUUCUUCAUCCACGAACCUGUUCAGUGCCAGGAAUUGUGCCUAGCGGGCAUUAUGCCAUGUAAUACGGAACGUAUUUGGUCCGCCGAAGCCAUGAAAUUGGUGCUUAAUGUGUUUUUGAAGGAACGGCAUACGCAUCGAUUGAGUGUUUUUAAUGCCGAUAUUGAUUUCGCCUUUAAUGAUAAGUAUUUUGUGCGUAAUAUUUUUGACAGCAAUGGCAAUGACCUCAAAAGUUUUGUACUCAACAAUAUGCCAGUGCUGCAUGAUGAGAAAGUUUUGAUGAGUUUGCAAAAACUGUUUAAUUAGAGUUGUUUACGCUACUGAGAUAUUCUUUCGGCAGCUGUUCAAAUUGCUGACAAUAAAGUUAUUGUUGGCAAGUUAUAUUUCAAAACGUUCAAUUUAAAUUUUGCUUUUGGCACAAUCUUUUAUUAUUUGUGUUAUUUAUAUUUUCCAUAACGAAAAUGCUGUUUUAAAAAAAAAUUCAUUAAAAUAAAAGCAUAUUAAAAUGAAAACCAAGUGAAGUAGUAUAUAAAAUUAUAUACAUUUAAAAUGUAAUUACAAAUUGACUUUAUUACAGCUUUUUGAAUUGCAUUUUGUAACAGACAAACUGAUGGUAUCAACAGUAUGACCAGACGCCAGUUUGUAAACAUUAUGCAGUUAUCGAUGCCAAUCGAUUUAUUCAAAUGCAUGCGAAAGAACCGUUGCAAAUGCUGUGCAUGAGUGUGUGUGGGCGCAUGCCAUGAAAAGUUAAUUUAAAUGCAUUUUGCAUUCAGUUUUAUGUGGUGCGAAACAAUUAAAAAUGAUUUACAUGGAUGAGGUAAAGUGUCACAUUUGCAAACGCAUCUUCUGCUGCGCCAAAUGCCGCCAAAAGCAUCAAUUUAAUACACACGCCAUUGCUGUGAGCCAAAAAGUGCCGAGCGAUAAUCAAA
This is an RNA transcript of Drosophila sulfurigaster albostrigata, 3668 nucleotides long. It is a transcript of the gene named mitosis initiation protein fs(1)Ya, with no coding region annotated. Lineage: Eukaryota; Metazoa; Arthropoda; Insecta; Diptera; Drosophilidae. The transcript has 5 exons. The record is from RefSeq and is a predicted model, not a curated record.